CUUUCUUAACUAGAAUGCAUUGUUUUUAUUUAUGGAACUAAAAUAAUGAUAAUAAAUGAGGGAAUUGGAAUAUAUGGUUAUCAAGUGUUGCUCCUUCUGAACAUUUUAUUAUGAAAAUGUCCAAAUACACAGCAAAAUUUAAAGACUUUGGCGACAAAAUACCUACUCUCACCACUUACAUUCUACCAUUGACAUUUUACUUGCUUUAACCAUGUUUGUUCAUCUAUCUGUCUAUCAAUUCAUCUUUUAAGAUGCAUUUUAAAGAAAUUACCUCAACACACAUAUUAUUAACUGGAGUUCAAUUUCAAUAUUUGUUUACAGUAAUUUUCUUUUAAUGUAAAUUUACAGGCAAAGGGCAAAAGAUUACGUGUUCAUUUGCUGAGUUUUUACAAAUGCAUAUAUAUUUAUGUAACUUAAACCCCAUUAGGAGAUACAUUUUUAUCACUCUAGAAAGUUCCCUCUUGUCCUACUAUAUAUAUAUAUAUAUACACACACACAUUUUUGUUUUUGAGAGCAGGUCUCGCUAUGCUGCCCAGGCUGGCCUUGAACUCCUGAUUUCAGGUGAUCCUCCCACCCCAGCCUCCCAAGUAGCUGGGACUACAGGCCUCUAUGGUGUAUUUUAAUUGCUGACAUCCUAUGGGUCAACACUAAGCACAGAGCCAGGUAUAUAGUAAAUGCUCAAUAAUGUUGGUUGAAGUAAGGAAUGAGUCUAGGAAUGAAUGUGCAGGUGGCUUGCUCCCCUAAGGGCAGGACCAUGUCUUCUUCUUUUGCAAUCACCAUGGAAUUGAUACACAUCAAAUGCUUAAUAAAGGCUUAUUGAUUGUGCCUGGGCAGGGUGGCUCACACCUGUAAUCCUAGCACUUUGGGAGUCUGAGGUGGGAGGAUUGCUUGAGCCCAGGAGUUUGAGACCGACCUACACAACAAAGUGAGACCCCAUCUGUACAAAAAUAAUAAUAAUAAUUUAAAAAUUAGCCAAGCAUGGUGAUGCAUGCCUAUUGUCCCAUCUACAUGGGUGGCUAAGGCAGGAGGAUUGCUUGAGCCCAGGAGGUCGAGGUAACAGUGAGUUGUGUUCACCCCAUUGCACUCCAGCCUGGAUGACAGCACGAGAUGGUCUCAAAAACAAAAACAAAACAACAACAAUGACAAAAAAACAAAACAACAACAAACAAAAACAAAAACAAACCUUUGGUGAUUGUAUUAGUUAUAUACUGCCGUGUAACAGAUUACCCAAAAUUUAGCAACUUAAAACUGUGUAAUUAUACAGAAGAAGCAGGAUUGAGAUUUAAAAAAUUGUAACUAUUAAAAAAAAUAAAGACAGGGUCUCACUAUGUCGCCCAGGCUGGUCGGGAACUCCUGGCCUCAGGCAAUCCUCCCACCUUAGCCUCGCAAACUGCUGGGAUUACAAGUGUGAGCCACUGCACCUGGCCAACAUUUAUUAUCUCACACAGUUUCUGUAGGUCAGAAAUGUGGAACUAACUUAGCUUAGUGGUUUUGGCUUGGGAUCUCUUAUGAGGCUGCAGUCAACGCCUGAUGAGAAGUCAUCUGAAGGCUGGACUGGGGCUGGGGGAUCUGUUUCCAAGAUAGUUCACUCAUAUGAUUGUUGGCAGGAGGCUCUGUGCUUGGUGCUGUGCUGAGCUCCAGGGAAUGUAGGAAUGAGUCAGAACCAGCCUCCCUUUCCAAGAUUCUGUGUGUGUGUGUGUGUGUGCGUGUGUGUGUGUGUGUGCAUGUGUGUGUGUGUGUGUAAGCGUGAGUGUUGAGAGUAGGCGUGGGGUUGGAGGGGUCAGACAGAUAUGGAAACAGAUAGUGUCUAUAGAGUUCAGUAAAUACCACAAUACUGGAAUAGUGGUUUUUGAAAAAAUUGCUCUGCUGUAAUUCAUAUUCAUGACAUAACAUUUAGGACACAUCAUGCAGAGAAAGUCUCCUUCCCUCUUUAUUCUAUAGCCACACACUCCUCCAGCUCAGAAGCACAACUAUAACUUGUUUUGUGUACCUUCCAGAACUAUUCUAUACUUAAAAGACAUUUCCCGCCUCCUUAAACAAAAAUACAGCACUAUUCAAAGUGCAUUGUUCUGUACUUUGCUUUUUUUUUUUUUUUUCACUUACUCUAUCUUGGAAAUAAUUCUGUAUCGGUGCACAGAGCUACCUAGUUCUUAUUUAUGGCUGCAUGGUAUUUUAUUGCCUGCAUGAGCCACAGUUCAUUUAACCAGACCCCUAUCACUGAACAUUUGGUUUAUUUCCAAACUCUUGUUAUUAGAGACAAAGCUGCAAUGACUUUCCUUGCACAUUGGUUUCCACUCGUGUGGGUAUAAAUGCCGGAGAAAUUCUUGGCAGUGGAAUUGUUGCAUCAAAGGGCUCCUGCAUCCUGGUAGAUAUUGCUCAGUAGGGUUUAUACCAACUUGCUCUCCCACCAGGAAUGUGUGAGAGUGUCUGUUUCCUCACACCUACACCCACAUAGUGAGUGAUCACACUUUUCCAAACUUUGCCAAUCUCUUAAUUGAAAAAUGGUUGCUCGGUGUUGUGUUAAUUUGCAUUUAUCUUAUGAGUGAGGUUGAACAUCUUGUCACACGUUUUAGAGUCGUUUGUAUUUUCUGUGAACUGUCUGUAUAAAUAAUUUGCCUAUUUUUCUAUUAGGCUGUUGGUCUUAUUUACUUGUAGGUCUUUACACAUCAAACGCACUCCCCCUUUGUCUGCAUGAUAGGCUUUGAAAAUAUUUUUUUUGAGAACAGUCUGCUUUUAGAUAUAAAUGAGAAGUUGAGAAGUUUCUGCAGAUUGCAUCAUUUUCUGCACGUUGCUGCAGGGCUGCCCAGUGGCUGAGGCAUCAGGGAUACCGUGUAGGGCUCUUAAAGGUGAUGUUAGAAGCCAGGUGGGGGGCCCUGGGGACGGCGGGCAGGGAGUGGGGGGACAAGGAGGUGGAUGUUAGCUCUUGCAUUGGAUAGAAGGGGCUGCCAUAGGAGACAGUGAACUCCCCAAGGUAGGAAGUGGGCAGAACAGGCUGGCCUGGCUUUAAGACCCCUCUGCCCCUGCUCUGAAAUACCUGAGGAUAAGCAACAAGUCAAGUGGGAGGACCCACCAAGAGGGCCAUCAAUUUCUGGCCAUUUAGACCUGAUUGGGUCGUUACUGCAUCUGGAAGCUCCUAGUAACAUUUAAUAGUAAUAUAAACUCCUAGAAUGUAAACUCCAAGAGGCCAGGGUUUAAAUGCUAAAUAAAUGGUUGUGGAAUGAAUGAAUGAAUGAACGAAUGAAUUUGGUCAAAGAAUGUGAGGGGCUACUAUUUCUGAGUGGGGGUGGGGGUAGGCAGAGUUCUCUUUCUCUUCUUUCCUCUUUGAACCUACUCUCUCCUCUUCCUUCCUCUUACCCCAGCUCAGUCAGGUCUUACCAUCUCUCAUGUGGUCCUGGUUCCAGCCUCCUCCCCACUUCCCUGCUUCCAGACGCUCCUCUGUUUUCCUAUUGAUCCUCCUCUCCAGCAGCUUGAUUCGCUUCAAGAAAAUGCAGGUCCCCUGGCUUGUUCCCAGGUGGGGCACCUUUGUUCACGCCUGUAAUCUCAGCACUUUGGGAGGCUCAGGCGGGUGGAUCCCUUGAGCUCAGGAGUUCAAGACCAUCCUGGGCAACAUAAAGAGAGCACGUCUCUACAAAAAAAAUUUAGAAAUAGCCAGGCCUGGUGGCGCACACCUGUAAUUCUGCUACUUUGAAGGCUGAG
RNAcentral lists this long non-coding RNA (3696 nucleotides) under Homo sapiens (human). RNAcentral's name for it is "HSALNT0266328". Lineage: Eukaryota; Metazoa; Chordata; Mammalia; Primates; Hominidae. The record is from RNAcentral.